UGGCUCAGUUCAGCAGGAACAG
This 22-nucleotide non-coding RNA is filed under the name Petromyzon marinus (sea lamprey). Its record names the gene pma-miR-24. The record is from miRBase by way of RNAcentral. RNAcentral also lists the same sequence under 55 other names. Lineage: Eukaryota; Metazoa; Chordata; Hyperoartia; Petromyzontiformes; Petromyzontidae.